Molecule: long non-coding RNA, 639 nt
Organism: Saccostrea cuccullata (small rock oyster)
Lineage: Eukaryota; Metazoa; Mollusca; Bivalvia; Ostreida; Ostreidae
Exons: 4
Source: RefSeq, a predicted model, not a curated record
AAAAUGCAAAUUACAUAUUUAAUCAAUCUGAAUAAAUAAUUGUUGUUUUAUUUAUUAGUUUAUGUAUUGUUGAGUCUAUUUCUAUUAAAGAAAUUAAGUUGUUCGUGAUUUUUUCUUUGAUUUGCGACAAUUGCCAUAAAAUGCGCAGUUCCGUAGCGAAUGUCAACAUGUCCAGGUCGUUUCCCGUAGAUAACCCCGAGAGGAUUGUUUUGUAAAAUAUACAAGCCGUAAACAUUAUUGAAGCAUUGUAGAAGCCCAGGGAUGAUUAAAACAAUUUUAAGUCACCCAUUUCUUUAUGCCCGGGACACCCGAUCAACCAAAGGAAACUUGAACUGUUGAAGGUCACAAACAUGCGAGAUUGCAGACCCACGUUGCCUCGAUCGCUUGAUGUCAUGUCGGGUCACUGUGCAGUGAGAUUGUACAUGAGCAAACAGCCCUACAGUACUUAAUUUACCCAGGAGUAGACUACUUGUAGUUGAAGGUAGACUGAAGGCCAGACUUAGGCAGGAUGAUUGAAAAAAAUCUGCUUGCAGAUGGACUACUAAGGCAAACAAAUUGGACUCUCAGGAGGUGAACAGAUGUUCAGCAAGAAAUUCGCACAUCAAAUGCUGUGAAUUACACUGAUAUCCCCCCCCCCCC